GCUUUGAAGGGAGAAGCAGGAGUGCUACAGUAGUUCUCGCUUAUUUAAUGCUCAGGAAGAAGUUUACUUUGUUGAAGGCAUGGAAUACAUUGAGACGAGUUCAUCGCCGAGCCCAACCUAAUGAUGGCUUUGCAAAGAUUCUUUUGGACCUAGAUCGCAAGUUGCAUGGUAAGGUUUCUAUGGAAUGGCAACAACGGAAGCCAAUCAUGAAGGUUUGCCCCAUCUGUGGAAAGAACGCUGGCUUGAGCAGCAGUUCGCUUAAACUUCAUUUGCAGAAAGCACACAAGAAACUAUCAUCUGGAAGUGUAGACAGUGCUAUGAACAUGGAGAUACAGAAGGCAUUAGAUGCACUCAAAAUAAGUCGAGGUGGAAGUGUCAGCCCUACUCAGAGACAAUCUUCCAUGAUUGAAGAAUUCGAAUCCUAAGGUUCAUAGUCUGCUCUGCUGGCCUGACCAACAUGAAGCUCAAUAUCUUUCCCAUGAUUAUCUACUUCCAAUAUCAAGCAAACAAGGUAAAACAUGUACAAGUAGUGUAAAAGAAUGUUUAUUAGCCCUACCUAAGCCAUGGUAAGUCGAGGGUGAAAAGUAGUCAUGUUGUGCAUGUUGUUGACCUUAACACCACAAUGUGUUUUGUCUUUGAG
Molecule: unclassified non-coding RNA, 640 nt
Filed under: Hevea brasiliensis (rubber tree)
Lineage: Eukaryota; Viridiplantae; Streptophyta; Magnoliopsida; Malpighiales; Euphorbiaceae
Source: RNAcentral